Thalassophryne amazonica is the source of this 611-nucleotide long non-coding RNA. RefSeq lists it as uncharacterized. The transcript is spliced from 2 exons. The record is from RefSeq and is a predicted model, not a curated record. Lineage: Eukaryota; Metazoa; Chordata; Actinopteri; Batrachoidiformes; Batrachoididae.
CCAAGUCAAGAAAUUUGAAUUUCAACCUGUUAACCAAAUAUGACACGCACUUGGGUUGUUUCCAGCCAAAGGUCAAUCCCUUGGGUGAAGGUCAAUGUUACUGGGCUCAAAUGUCAGAUUGCUGUAGUUCUUACUGUCUUUGUGGUCAUGGGUACUACCAGUGUUGAAACAAAAAAAAAAAAAAGAGAAACAAUAACAUAUAUCUCCAAAUGAGUCUAAAUAAAAUACACACUGUGAUUUACCAAAAAAUACAUAAAGCACAUUUCUGAACAAAUACAAUCGUACUGUGUGAAUAAAUGGCAAGAUGUAUACAAUGAAUAUAAAAAUGACAUUUGGGAUACUAGUUUGUCCUACUUUACAAUGUAAACAUAGUAAAUAAUGAUUCCGGGACUGGAAAGGCUAGAAUGUUGACUAUCCUGUACACCUUCGACAGAGCACAUUAGCUGCGACACUCACGUUAUUACUGCACCUCUACUUCCAUGUUUAUAUUAACAUGCACACACUCACUCACACUAUUGCACAAAACCUCUUAAAUCGGAAUCUUUCCAAACAAAUAUUGAUUUAUAUUCCAAGUCUGACAAAUAAAGUACAACUUGACAUUGGGGUCGACA